GCCCAGGGGCCCCAGAUCUUCCUUCCUGCCUUCCUUCACUCACUCAACACAGGUCUCCUGGUUGCCUCUCCGCUGCACUCUGCUGUCGCCAGCGCGCCUUGACUUUGUUCCUUUUUUCCAGGCUGAGAGCGAUGGUCCCACCCCAAUCUCCCGAAUGCCAAGCCUGGGCAAGGGAGUGGAAAAUCCUUUGAAAUUCCCAAUAAAUAAAUAAAAAUAACUUGGAGAGCUUGUCGUCAUAGAGACCAAAGGCUUGGUUGGUCGUCAUGGCAACCCUGGGACAGCCGCUGCCUCAAGUGAUCUGCAUGGUUGAGAAAGAAGGGCCGCGGGGUGGAGAGACAGGGCCCCAGCUACAGGGUGAGCGCCGGCGCCAGCUGAUUCUCCAGGCGGGGGCAGAGCAAGGGCAGAGUGAGUUGGGGGUGCAAGGGGAGAGCACACUGUCUUCUGGAACUUUCUUUCCCAGCAAGCUGCCACGCUUUUCAUCAGCAUCAUCCUGAGAGGCGCCUGAAGCUCCGCUUCCCCGGCCCCGGGGCUGUGAGGGGAGCCAGGCCUCCUCCCUGCUCAGCUGCCUGGGCAUCUCCAUGACAACACCGGCCCCUCCCCUCCGUGGGAGCCAGCCCCUGCCUGGGACCUCAGGGAGUUGCCCAGGUGGCGACCUACUGAGGACGAGGAGCCCACCUUUCCUGUUUCCCCCGCAUGCCCAUCGGAGCCCAAGGGAUGGCAGAAGCUCAGGAAAACAAGAGUCAUGGAGAAGCCCAUUCCCUGGGUGGGGCUGGGGUCAAGGGCAGAUCCUCGACCUUAGCCAGGUCUCCCUCCUGCUCACCUACAUAGGGCAAGUGCAGGGACACCCAGGGAGCCCCUUGGAUUCCAUCUCCAUCUUUCCAAGUGCCAAUGCUCAGUUUACCUUGACACAGGGAACAUUUGUACCCGAAACUGGGUUGCAAAGGUGGAGGGGGUGUCUGCAAUUUUUGUUUCCUGUCCGGCUUGUCCUCUUGUGCUGGCCAGCUCUGUCCCCCUCCUCUGCCCCGCCACACCUUUGGAGCACUGACCUCUCCAGGCACCACCCUCACUCCCUGUUCUUCCGGAGGAGCUGCCAAUCACAUUGUCCUGCAACCUGGUGGCCCAGCCACAGCUGCAGUGAUUGGCUCAGGAAUGGACACAUGACCCAUAGCUGGGCCAAUCAGAAUUCUUCCCUGGGACUGUAUAUAGGAAAGCUUGAAGAAAGUGAAGCCUUCUUCUUCCCUUUGGGCUUGGAGCAGAAGGGUGAUUCUGAGGCCUGGGUCUGAGCUCCCCAGGUCGGGUGGGAGGUCAGAGGGCGGGAGGGGAGUGAGUUCCCAGAUGUCUGGUAGCCGGCUGCUUGUGGAUGGCCCCGGGCUGCAGCCCUGUCCCCCUGGGGGGAACUCUCCUGGGAAAUCUUUCCUGGGAGGCUGGUGGCAGGCGCUGAUCUCCGGCCUUCUCAGCUGCCUGCUCUAGUGUAGGCAGCCUGGCUGUCAUAAACAGUCUGACUGCCUGGCAGGUAGAAAGGUUAGUGGUGGAUUCAGCGGCUUCUGUAAAUCCUGCUUCCGUCUCCGACAUCACAGGUCUCGGCCCGGCUGAGACGCCGGCUGCCUGGACUCAUCGCCUCCCAAGCUUGAACUUGACCCUGCCCUGCUCUCUGAACUUCAAGGCAGGACGCUCCCCGGCCCUUGCAGUGCCCGCUUCCCCUGCAGUGCUGGCCAACAGCAACAGAGAGCAAACAAUUUCAAUUUUUCUAGCAGCCUCAUCAAAAAGUAAGAAGACAAAGAUGAAAUGAAUUUCACUAAUGCGUUUCCUUCAAUCCAUUAUCUCUAAGAUGCUAUCUCCAUACGUAAUGGGUGUCAGCUGUAACUGGAACGUUUUGCAUUCUGUCUUUUGUUUUUUUUUUUUUAUUAUUGUUUUUUCACAGGGAGAGUGGACAGAGAGAGAGAGAGAGAGACAGAGAGAAAGGUCUUCCUUUGCCGUUGGUUCACCCUCCAAUGGCUGCCGCGGCUUGUGCGCUGUGGCCAGCGCACCGCGCUGAUCCGCAGGCAGGAGCCAGGUGCUUCUCCUGGUCUCCCAUGGGGUGCAGGGCUCAAGCACUUGGGCCAUCCUCCACUGCACUCCCUGGCCACAGCAGAGAGCUGGCCUGGAAGAGGGGCAACCGGGACAGAAUCCGGUGCCCCGACCGGGGCUAGAACCCAGUGUGCCGGCGCCGCAAGGCCAAGUGAGCCGCGGCGCGGGCCUGCAUUCUGUCUUUUGUAUGAAGACUUUACUCUUCCAGCCCAUCGG
This is a long non-coding RNA of Oryctolagus cuniculus (rabbit), 2283 nucleotides long. NCBI's taxonomy places the organism in Eukaryota, Metazoa, Chordata, Mammalia, Lagomorpha, Leporidae. The record is from Ensembl.